RNAcentral lists this ribosomal RNA (497 nucleotides) under uncultured bacterium. RNAcentral describes it as "partial 16S ribosomal RNA". It matches the Rfam family "Bacterial small subunit ribosomal RNA", at positions 28 to 507 of the family's 1533-position model. The record is from RNAcentral.
GAUGAACGCUGGCGGCGUGCCUAAUACAUGCAAGUCGAGCGAACAGACGAGGAGCUUGCUCCUCUGACGUUAGCGGCGGACGGGUGAGUAACACGUGGAUAACCUACCUAUAAGACUUGGAUAACUGCGGGAAACCGGAGCUAAUACCGGAUAAUAUAUUGAACCGCAUGGUUCAAUAGUGAAAGACGGUUUUGCUGUCACUUAUAGAUGGAUCCGCGCCGCAUUAGCUAGUUGGUAAGGUAACGGCUUACCAAGGCAACGAUGCGUAGCCGACCUGAGAGGGUGUACGGCCACACUGGAACUGAGACACGGUCCAGACUCCUACGGGAGGCAGCAGUAGGGAAUCUUCCGCAAUGGGCGGAAGACUGACGGAGCGACGCCGCGUGAGUGAUGAAGGUCUUCGGAUCGUAAAACUCUGUUAUUAGGGAAGAACAAAUGUGUAAGUAACUAUGCACGUCUUGACGGUACCUAAUCAGAAAGCCACGGCUAACUACGUG